This is a long non-coding RNA of Ornithodoros turicata, 3308 nucleotides long. RefSeq lists it as uncharacterized. NCBI's taxonomy places the organism in Eukaryota, Metazoa, Arthropoda, Arachnida, Ixodida, Argasidae. The transcript is spliced from 3 exons. The record is from RefSeq and is a predicted model, not a curated record.
ACGUGUCUCUCUUUGCUGCCGCCGUGCCGUCUGCUCGCUUCGCGUGCGCAUGCGCUAGCACACAGCGGUUUGUUUGCUUGAGGAUGAGAUUUGUGUUUGUGGUAGCGGUGAAGCAACUUUGCCAAAUAUUCCGUUCAAGUUCCUCGCUGGGUGUCCCGCUCGUCCGUCGAUGUUCAACAGAUGCAGCAAGUGCCAGUCCACUUUUUCUCAGCUGCACCUUCUCAGUCCAGGCAGCAACAGCACCAGGUGAAUGUAGGUACACAACUUCCAAGUGAAAGACGCACGAGUGCAAUUCUGAAGCUGGUAAGUACUGUCAGGGACACUUCUAACUUUCUACUCGUUUCCGUGGUCUCGCUCCGAUAAGCGCCACGCUAGCGGGCGGGAGGCGCUAGAUCCUGAGGGGUAUCAUUCGUUGUGUUCGUACGCCUCGGCGGCGGUGGCUAUGAAUGUAGUGCCCUGGUCAGCGCAUGAAGACAUCAAUUGUUCUCAGUCGUCGGUUUCACGCUGUCGUAGGUGGACGUGUGUGUGUUGUGCUUCUUGUUUCAUGCUGAUUACCACAUGGAGGUGGAGCCCCUGUAGCUGACCAGAAAGGCCAAGACUGUCAGAUGCCAUACAUGAAUUGGGUAUGGGAUAGAGAGAGAAGUAUUGGGAUUCUAUUGGAGAAUUUGCAUACCCCUGCUUAUGCUAGUCCUCACUAGGCCAACCAAAGCAGGCACACAAUUGUUCUCGUGUUGAGCUGACUGAUUUGUAACUGACACUGUUUACUUAUAAUUCUCAGUAAUUUCACACUACUCACAAUUAUGUUUUACUUUCAAGUUCAAGUUCUUCAAGGAGAGCUGACCCAGCAGAAGGCCUCUGGUAGCAUACUGUAAACAAGUGCGCCACUCCCACAGGAUUAUUGCAUUGGCCUUUUGCAUUCAUGCCUGAAUGCGGUCCAGGGCAUCCCAAGGGCACCAGCUGCGUGACGAUGCCCCACCCCACGGAUUGUCUUAUGCCAACAGCAUGCUCCCGUAGGGAACUAUGGACACUAGAAGAUGGACUGCGGACAUGCUAAGGAAUUCUUCAGUAGCUUUAUGGUGCACUGGAGAAGAAACAGCAGACCUGGACGAAGUAAACAAACGGCCCUUAUCAGGGCCACCAUAUGUCUGCCACAAUGGCUAGCGUUCUGCUGAUAGAACAAACCCUGAUGGUGAUAGAAGAUCACUGAACUAACCAUAACUCAAGCAUGAUGGCUACAACAGUGCUGAUAGAAAAGAAUCAUUGCAGUUACAAAUGCCAUACAUUUCAUUAAGCACUGUAUUUUCGAUGACAGUAAUAUUUAGAGUUGAAGGAGUCAUGUUCUGCCACUUUUUGGAUGGUCAAAGUAUGCAUCACAGAACAUAUUGCUAAGGUGAACAGUAUGUGGAACCGACUAUAACUCCUGUUAUUCAUUCACACAGAAAAUAUGAAGCAGAAAAUGUCGAGGUUGUUGCGAGAGACCUGUACUAUGUCUGUUCUAUGUCUUUUGCAAAAGCUAUCACCGUUUCUCGACAAAAGUGACGUGGAGAAUGUACUGGAUGCCUGUCAUAUUCACAGUGGGUUAUGGCUUCGGGAUUGCUAUGUUGUGUUUAAUGAGAAGUGCAGAAAUUUGGGCCAGUUGGUACAUAACUGCAAAAGGGAAUAAGAGUAUACAGACGGGACAAUGGAGGGACAGAGCUGCUUACAACUAAACUAUAAUGAUAGGAAACCCGACGCAGCCAUGUGCGCAGGUGCAUUGCUAUCCCACCAUGUCAAAACAACGAGUACAGUUCUAGACAAAUGUUAGAGAACAUGCUCCGGCGCGUUCCUUCCUCAGAGUGACAGCAAAUGGGACCGUACAGACUUAGACAUGCUCGUAUAGGUAGCAGAGUCACCUGUAUGCAAGUCCGUAGGAUACCAUUCGCUGCCAGCUUGUCACUCGGAGGGAGUAGUGUGCCAGAGCAUGUUCCAUAAACUUUUGUCCAGCACUUUACAAGUAUAAAACUGAUUAACAAUGUAGAGUGGGCUAGUUGGUAUGACAUCUUAGACUAUGGAGCUACGGCAGACAAGGAGAAUACACCACUCCAUAAUCAACUGGUUUAUUUCUGGAAAAAGAGAAAAGGAAGGUUGAACGUUGGGAUUGGGGGUUUUGAGACGACCUGAUUAAAAAGGAACUUUACACCUAGUGGUGAUCUUUUCCUGCUGUCCUUGUCUGCCAUAGCUCCGUAGUCGAAAUCUGUACAAGUAUAUCAGACAAGACCCUCAAAAUGACAUUUUUAGGCAUGUGCAAACAAAACCACCAUAGUGAUAAGGGGUGACACAAGUGAAAAAAAAAUCCUAUGAUUUUAAUAAAAAUUCAAGUUCCUUAUCCAUCAGACAAAUUGAAGCUUCAGUAGUACAACUGGAAGAGCCACUUCUUAUUUCAGCCACUUCCACUACAUCUCUUUCGAACUGACAGUUUGCUUUUCUUUUUGGCUGAGUUCUUUCAAAAGCCGGGUUUUAAUGUCACUAUUUAAUAUAGUAUGUACGCAAGUUGUAAUCGAAAAAAAAAGAAAAAAGUGUACCGCACCGCACGCGAAUACCAGGUUGCCGUGUCCGUAAUUUUGUGAGGUUCGAGAGCCACAAGAACUGCUCGCAUGCAGUGUAUUCUACCUAACAUGGACAGCGCAGCAGCAGUACGGCGGGCCAGGCUGAAAACAAUGCCUGAAAAUCUGUUCUCCUAAUUCGUCUUUAAAUUUCGAGAGGGUAGCUUCGUUCUCUUUGGUGGCCAAGAGGCCGCGUGUUUGAGAUCCCUGUAGAUAGGGCAACCGCUUUCGAAACUAAACAACAAGGAUCAGAAACGUAACGCUGUCCUAUAUCUGCGCAAAAGCACCAUAGUUCAUGUACAAAGCAGGUCUUCCAAGGACAUGAACGGGUUUUUCCGGGGAACCACCACCGUGGGAAAACAGACACAAGUGCAGGUGGGAAAUGUGAAUCAUGUGUCGCCCCCAAGAUUUUUCUAGAAUUUCUUUGAGAGAUGUUCAAAAUUUAGUUUGCAGUUUAUUGAGUUUUCAUAUUGCAUACAGAGGUUCAAUUACUUUAUAUAUGGUUAUCUCUAAAUUAAAAACCCGAGACUGGGAGGACAAAAAACGACAAGCUUGUCUGUGUUAUGGAUCUAUACCACCAGCUCGCUUGCUACCUCUCUAUCCUCUCGGUACUGUGUAUAUAUUUUUGUCAUUUUCUUUGGGGACUGUGUUGCACGAUUUACCCUAAACAUACCCGAUCAUCGUGAUCAUUUUGUGACCUUAGUAUCAAUAAAGAAGUAUCCUUGA